RNAcentral lists this ribosomal RNA (832 nucleotides) under uncultured bacterium. RNAcentral's name for it is "bacterial SSU rRNA". It matches the Rfam family "Bacterial small subunit ribosomal RNA", at positions 600 to 1424 of the family's 1533-position model. The record is from RNAcentral.
UCCUCUGGNUUAACUGGGGGCUUGCGGUGGGUACGGGCCGGCUUGACUGCGGUAGGGGAGACUGGAACUCCUGGUGUAGCGGUGGAAUGCGCAGAUAUCAGGAAGAACACCGGUGGCGAAGGCGGGUCUCUGGGCCGUUACUGACGCUGAGGAGCGAAGGCGUGGGGAGCGAACAGGAUUAGAUACCCUGGUAGUCCACGCCGUAAACGUUGGGCACUAGGUGUGGGGGGCCUUUUCCGGGUCUUCCGCGCCGUAGCUAACGCAUUAAGUGCCCCGCCUGGGGAGUACGGCCGCAAGGCUAAAACUCAAAGGAAUUGACGGGGGCCCGCACAAGCGGCGGAGCAUGCGGAUUAAUUCGAUGCAACGCGAAGAACCUUACCAAGGCUUGACAUGUGCCGGUCGGCUCCGGAGACGGGGCUUCCUCCUUGUGGGGCCGGUUCACAGGUGGUGCAUGGUUGUCGUCAGCUCGUGUCGUGAGAUGUUGGGUUAAGUCCCGCAACGAGCGCAACCCUUGUCCCGUGUUGCCAGCACGUUGUGGUGGGGACUCGCGGGAGACUGCCGGGGUCAACUCGGAGGAAGGUGGGGAUGACGUCAAAUCAUCAUGCCCCUUAUGUCUUGGGCUUCACGCAUGCUACAAUGGCCGGUACAGAGGGCUGCGAUACCGUGAGGUGGAGCGAAUCCCUUAAAGCCGGUCUCAGUUCGGAUCGGUGUCUGCAACUCGACACCGUGAAGUUGGAGUCGCUAGUAAUCGCAGAUCAGCAACGCUGCGGUGAAUACGUUCUCGGGCCUUGUACACACCGCCCGUCACGUCAUGAAAGUCGGCAACACCCGA